CCUACGGGGGGCAGCAGUGGGGAAUAUUGCGCAAUGGGCGAAAGCCUGACGCAGCGACGCCGCGUGAGGGAUGAAGGUCUUCGGAUCGUAAACCUCUGUCAGCAGGGAAGAACGGUCACUGUGCUAAUCAGCAGUGAAUUGACGGUACCUGCAAAGGAAGCACCGGCUAACUCCGUGCCAGCAGCCGCGGUAAUACGGAGGGUGCGAGCGUUAAUCGGAGUUACUUGGCGUAAAGCGCUCGUAGGCGGUAUGUCAAGUCAAGGGUGAAAUCUCCGCGCUCAACUUGGGAACUGCCUUUGAAACUGGCAAACUAGAGUGUGUGAGAGGAUAGUGGAAGUCCAGGUGUAGGAGUGAAAUCCGUAGAGAUCUGGAGGAACAUCAGUGGCGAAGGCGACUAUCUGGCACAUAACUGACGCUGAGGAGCGAAAGCGUGGGUAGCAAACAGGAUUAGAUACCCGGGUAGUC
Molecule: ribosomal RNA, 465 nt
Filed under: uncultured bacterium
Lineage: Bacteria
Description: partial 16S ribosomal RNA
Rfam family: Bacterial small subunit ribosomal RNA
Source: RNAcentral